RNAcentral lists this ribosomal RNA (534 nucleotides) under uncultured Micromonospora sp. RNAcentral's name for it is "bacterial SSU rRNA". It matches the Rfam family "Bacterial small subunit ribosomal RNA", at positions 498 to 1031 of the family's 1533-position model. Lineage: Bacteria; Bacillati; Actinomycetota; Actinomycetes; Micromonosporales; Micromonosporaceae. The record is from RNAcentral.
CAACUACGUGCCAGCAGCCGCGGUAAGACGUAGGGCGCAAGCGUUGUCCGGAUUUAUUGGGCGUAAAGAGCUCGUAGGCGGCUUGUCGCGUCGACUGUGAAAACCCGUGGCUCAACUGCGGGCUUGCAGUCGAUACGGGCAGGCUAGAGUUCGGUAGGGGAGACUGGAAUUCCUGGUGUAGCGGUGAAAUGCGCAGAUAUCAGGAGGAACACCGGUGGCGAAGGCGGGUCUCUGGGCCGAUACUGACGCUGAGGAGCGAAAGCGUGGGGAGCGAACAGGAUUAGAUACCCUGGUAGUCCACGCUGUAAACGUUGGGCGCUAGGUGUGGGGGGCCUCUCCGGUUCUCUGUGCCGCAGCUAACGCAUUAAGCGCCCCGCCUGGGGAGUACGGCCGCAAGGCUAAAACUCAAAGGAAUUGACGGGGGCCCGCACAAGCGGCGGAGCAUGCGGAUUAAUUCGAUGCAACGCGAAGAACCUUACCUGGGUUUGACAUCGCCGGAAAUCCUUCAGAGAUGGGGGGUCCUUCGGGGCCGGU